Molecule: long non-coding RNA, 466 nt
Organism: Candoia aspera
Lineage: Eukaryota; Metazoa; Chordata; Lepidosauria; Squamata; Candoiidae
Exons: 3
Source: RefSeq, a predicted model, not a curated record
UAACUCAGUGUUAUAUCCUCAUGAGCAUGCUUGGUCUUCAAGGAACCAUUUACAGGAAUUUCAUCUGCAUGGCUUCCUUUCUGAAAUAGCUUCUGCACUUCUAGAAACCUUGGGGUUCCCUCAGAAGCUUCAGGGGAACUCCACAUCUCCUGAGAACAUAAUUUGUUGAGAAGUCCUGAUUCAGCUCUGGGAACAAUCCUAACUUUGCCAGGAAGGUGAUGGAGAAAAAGGUGUGAGCAUCUAUUGCUGGUGAAAUUCACUACAGGCUGACGUCCAUCAUCAGAAGUUCUUUGGUGAAUGUUCUGCUUUUGCCCAGAGCCUUUGGGACAUUAGCCUUGUCACUAGGAAUUCAUGGUGAGGUCCAACAAAUGGCAUCCAUACUUCAGUUACAUUACAGUGCAUUCCAUGUGGGUCAUUGCUACAAAACCAGAAGCUUCAUUCAGUGCAAAAUGUAGAAGUUAGGAUG